AUGUUAGAGGGGGAGUCUGACCUGAAAUCACGGAGAAAUGAACAACAUCAACAAUCAGGAUUACAACUUUCUGUGACGUUUUCCUCAGGUACAGCAGUGAGCAGUGACCUACAGUCUACACAGCCCAGUGAAGUUAAACAUAUUAUAUACCUGCAAUACUUGAUCCUGUACAACAUGUCAACAUAACUGAAGGAAUUACUCAUCUAAUAAAGUAACUUGUUUAUGUGCUUUAAAAACUGCUAAGUAACCAACUGUAAGUAACCAACUGUAAUGUACUGUAUCCAUAUUUCAUAGUCUGAUAUUUUAACUUGAAAGUAUUAUUACCAACGUUAACCUUCAGAUAUUUGUAAAAGCUGCAAUUAUGUUUGAACCCCAUUAAAAAUACUGAAUAUUCUAUCAUUUAUAUUAUAUAUUAUGAUGUCAUUUAUCUUCCAAUAUAAGGUUUAAAUUUAAAGGCCAGGUUUAAAUUUAACAUUUUCAUAUUGAUAGAUGUUACACGAACCAGGUUUUCAACUCUUGUAGAACUAAAACACUUUAUGUUUCAUUCAAAUUCCAGUUACACAUGUUGCAAGUAACAAAGCUAGAACUUUUAUGUAAACUGUGCAGAUCAUGUUCUCCAUCAAGGUGGUUUCUAGUAUACUGAAGUGUGAGCUGGUAAUGGAGCUCUGCAGUCAGUGUUCAUCUUGAUGAGUCUUCCUUUGGAUACCCAGAGUGUCCUGAUGCUGCAGCUGUCUCUGUCCUCUGAUGGGUCCAGGAACUCCUGAGCUUCAUCAGGUCACCUGUAAAACAAGGCAGAUUCAGUGUUACCUGUAAGGCAGCAUAUCAUAAACAGUAUAAUAUAAUACAAUACAGUAUAAUAUAAUACAAGUACAACAGCUCAUUGUGGCUCAAAGUAGUCCUAAGUUAUAAAAUAAAAUAAUAAAGCAGUGUCUCUGGUGGUUCCUUGUUGCAGCUAACUGUAGUGAUGUGGUGUUGAAACAGUCUGAGGUUACCAACACAAUGUCUAUCUAAUGGCAGCAGAUACACACACAGGACAUUUACUGACUGUAACUGAUGUUGUAACAAGUUCCUGGUGCAAUAACAGACAUUUAGCAGUGAGCCUCAGUGUUUAUAAUACAAUAGGAGAUUAUAUGAGUAUGAGAUGUUACACUGGACCUACACUUAUAUCGUCAGUCAUAGCAGUACUUCAGUAAUGCUAAAUAUAUGGAUCAGAAAACCUUUAUUUUGACUCCACAAAAUGCCUAGCGAAAACCCUAACCAGCUGCUCGGUGCUAAUCAAAGUUACAGAAUAAUACUAAACUAAUUAAUCCCUGCAGUUUGACUAUUUCUCUCUCACAGUAGUUCUAUUGUUAACUCUGGUGCACAUUGAUCAAGUUAAUUUACAUUCAGCAGCACACACACACCUGAACAAAGCAGAAGAACGGCUUCAGAGAACCAACAAAGCUAACGCUAGCUGAGAUAGCCUUAGCACGUCAGUAGAAAGUUACACAAGAAGACCAGGACGGAAGCCGCACUGUUCUUCUUCAAUCAGAGGUUGUCUGUGUGCUGCUGUAUGUAAAUUUACCAGAGGUAAAGAUAGAGCUACUGUGAGAGAGAAAUAGUCAAACUGUGAUCAAGCCUCCUUAGAAGUUAACAAAAUACGGGGAGAAGGUUAUGGUGAUUAUUUUUCAUGAUGCUUCUUGUGUAACUUUCUACUGACGUGCUAAGGUCAUGAAAAAUAAUCACCAUAACCUUCUCAGGUUGUGUUUGUGUAGGUAACUCUGAUGAGUAAUUAAUCACCGGGACCCUGAGGUCUGCAUUUGGGAAGGUCGAGCUGGCCAUUCUCAGCAUAUGUCUCAACUGUUUGAGAGAUGUUUUAUGUGGCUCUUUGUCCCGGUUAUUAAUGCCCACCGAGAGGAUCACCACCUUUGUCUCCUUGUUGGCUGGUGUUUUUUCUAAAAUUCUGCCAAACUGGUACAAAAUGGCCCCUGGAUAGCUGUCAGCCUGAAUGUCCUGAUGUGAAAAUUUGGGGAUUCUAUUGAUGUUUGAAUCACCCAGUAUGAGUAUUGGUUUGUUACUUUUAAAUUCCCAGUCUUUUAGUUUACGGCUACUGCCAGCCCGGUGGCAGGUGGGUUCAAGGGUCAGGCUCGUAUCUGCAACUCUGGUGGGAGGAGCGAAGACCUUGGCGCGUGCUCCCAGCUGGUGUGAGUUAGGAUGUUCU
This 2200-nucleotide long non-coding RNA is filed under the name Dicentrarchus labrax (European seabass). Its description in RNAcentral is "lncRNA (ENSDLAG00005015736.2)". Lineage: Eukaryota; Metazoa; Chordata; Actinopteri; Moronidae. The record is from RNAcentral.